RNAcentral lists this ribosomal RNA (253 nucleotides) under uncultured bacterium. RNAcentral's name for it is "partial 16S ribosomal RNA". It matches the Rfam family "Bacterial small subunit ribosomal RNA", at positions 524 to 776 of the family's 1533-position model. The record is from RNAcentral.
UACGUAGGUGGCAAGCGUUGUCCGGAAUUAUUGGGCGUAAAGAGCUCGUAGGCGGUCUGUUGCGUCGGCUGUGAAAACCCGGGGCUCAACCCCGGGCCUGCAGCCGAUACGGGCAGACUAGAGUUCGGCAGGGGAGACUGGAAUUCCUGGUGUAGCGGUGAAAUGCGCAGAUAUCAGGAGGAACACCGGUGGCGAAGGCGGGUCUCUGGGCCGAUACUGACGCUGAGGAGCGAAAGCGUAGGGAGCGAACAGG